UACGUAGGGUCCGAGCGUUGUCCGGAAUUACUGGGCGUAAAGAGCUCGUAGGUGGUUUGUCGCGUUGUUCGUGAAAACUCACAGCUUAACUGUGGGCGUGCGGGCGAUACGGGCAGACUAGAGUACUGCAGGGGAGACUGGAAUUCCUGGUGUAGCGGUGAAAUGCGCAGAGUAUCAGGAGGAACACCGGUGGCGAAGGCGGGUCUCUGGGCCGAUAUUGACGCUGAGGAGCGAAAGCGUGGGGAGCGAACAGG
RNAcentral lists this ribosomal RNA (254 nucleotides) under uncultured bacterium. RNAcentral's name for it is "partial 16S ribosomal RNA". It matches the Rfam family "Bacterial small subunit ribosomal RNA", at positions 524 to 776 of the family's 1533-position model. The record is from RNAcentral.